This is a non-coding RNA of Phrynosoma platyrhinos (Desert horned lizard), 72 nucleotides long. The record is from the annotation of a GenBank genome assembly. Lineage: Eukaryota; Metazoa; Chordata; Lepidosauria; Squamata; Phrynosomatidae.
GCCAGUGUGGUGUAGUGGUUUGAGUGUAGGACUAGGACUCUGGUGAUUAGAGUUCAAUUCCCUGCUCAGCCA